CCUACAGUUCCUGGUACACCCCACUUGCUCUGGAGCCUGCAGACAGCAUCCUGGAAAAAUGGGCCAAAGCCAGCGGAGGGUAAAAAUUCUUACCAAAGUCAGCUUUCCCGGAUCUCUGCCUGCAGUGCCCGGUUGAGAGAGGAAGGGCCCUGGCCAGAGAAGUAAGAUGGGGAGUGGAAAAAGGUUUUCACCCUCCCAUGCAGAGGCUUUUUCCAGAAAGUGACCUGCAUGCUUUUCUCCCUGAAGAUAGAACGCCAGCUUCAAGGCGGAUGACACGGCACAAAGCUACUGGGAAAGUGGAAGAUGGAUGACUGAGGUUGGGCAGCCCAUGCCCUGCUCAGUGCCGGCCCGGCCGUCUGCUGGCAGUGUGACCUUGGGUGAGUGCCCUGGGCUCUCUGAGCCUACUGCUUCUUCCAUUACAUGGGGCCAUCCCUUCCUCGUUGGGCUAUUAAAAGGUCUAAGAAAAGGUCAAGUGUCUUUCAAAGAACAGGGCCUGGAUUCCGUGCUCUCUGGGUUGUAACCCGUGACACCAUGGCCCUCGCUCAAUUAACGAGAACCCUCCUCCUGACCCUUUUCCCUCCAGAGGUGGGAAUGUGCAGGACCAGCUCCCCGUUCCCCUACCCUCCAUCUUCUAAAGAUUCUAGAACUCUCUAGAUGUCCCUCUUCUAAACUUUAUUAAGCACCUGCUGCAUGCCAGGGGUUUACGUGGGGGGUGGGCGGACAACUGCGUCUGGCCUUCUGCUUGCCCCCGUCCUCAUGGCUGACACUUUGCCCUCUGCUCUAGAAUCUGGACCCCGGGACUGGGUGUAGAGAGGGCUCGAGGGGGCCCCCUGCGGGUGGGCAGGUUUCCCAGCCCCCCAGCCUCCCGGUCUCUCCAGCAGACGGUCGGCCGCAGCCACCCAACGGACGAGUUCGUGGAUUCCACCAGCCUUAUGUUUUGGUUGAACAUUCAAGGGACAAGCCUGCCACCCAAAGAAAGAACGACUUGGAGCGCCGUCUCCUUGGGGCCUGAGCGCCUCGUGCCCACGGCACGUGUCUGUGGAGACCGGCCCUUCAGGAAGGAGGGCUUUUCAAACACCCCCCGGAAUGUUCCGUUCCAGAUUCAGUAGCGACCCCAAAGAGGGAAGCUCCCCAACUGGGCUUGUGAUGAAGGAUCUGGGGCCAUCAGCCCGCCUCAAGGAACCUCACGCCUCAGGGGAGACCCCUGCGGAGGGCAGAGGAAGCUAGGGAGACCCCGGGGGCAGCCCGGCUCACACCACGGAGGCCUCAGCUGAGCAAGUGAGAAACAGCCAGGACAAGGACAGUGGGCAGACUGGAGGCCCCGCCCAGAGGUGGGUCCAGCGGCCAGGCUGUCUCCUAGAUGAUAGGUAUUGAGGAAGGUGGAGAAUUAUCCAGACCAGCUGUGGUCUUUCUUGUCCCCAGAAGCAUUCUGAAGCAUUGGCAAACUGCUCCUUCUGGUAUCUGGAGCCAGCACCCUCUUCUCUGAGCCCCCCGGUGUCUCGUGCUGGUUGUUCCGUCCUGGCCAAGAAUCUUGACCUUGCUGCGGAGCUGGGCUUGUGGUGGAAGGUGAAGGACUUUGAAAUCUUGGCAGCCUGGUGCCGGCUUAAGGAAAAUCUCAAACUGGGAAGAAAAGAGAAGGGAGAAAGAGUCCACCUCAGCCCCUGGAUCUCUGGGUCCCACAGAAGCGCAGAUCUCAUCAACUUAGGGGUCACAGAUCUGGGCAGAGCCCCUGUGCCCUCUCUAGGGUGGUCGUCAUUGGCAGGUGAGUUUUACCAGCGUCUUGCUUUCCAAUCUCUGUGCUUUACCUCUUUCUCUGGUCUUCCUGAGUGGGACAGGAUCCUAAUACAACGGGCAAUGGAAGCACAGACAGAGAGUGUCUUUAUCUUGUCACCGACUUUAAAGGGAAUGUUCAGAUUUUUCACCACCGUGCGUGAUGUUCAAGGCCGUACCCCAAACUCCUCACGCUAUCAGGUCAAGGAAGGUCCCUCUUGUCCCUCAUUUGCUAGGAGAAUUUUCAAAAGUAAA
Equus quagga is the source of this 2025-nucleotide long non-coding RNA. RefSeq lists it as uncharacterized. The record is from RefSeq and is a predicted model, not a curated record. NCBI's taxonomy places the organism in Eukaryota, Metazoa, Chordata, Mammalia, Perissodactyla, Equidae. The transcript is spliced from 4 exons.